GAUGAACGCUGGCGGCGUGCCUAAUACAUGCAAGUCGAGCGAACGGACGAGAAGCUUGCUUCUCUGAUGUUAGCGGCGGACGGGUGAGUAACACGUGGAUAACCUACCUAUAAGACUGGGAUAACUUCGGGAAACCGGAGCUAAUACCGGAUGAUAUUUUGAACCGCAUGGUUCAAAAGUGAAAGACGGUCUUGCUGUCACUUAUAGAUGGAUCCGCGCUGCAUUAGCUAGUUGGUAAGGUAACGGCUUACCAAGGCAACGAUGCAUAGCCGACCUGAGAGGGUGGUCGGCCACACUGGAUCUGAGACACGGUCCAGACUCCUACGGGAGGCAGCAGUAGGGAAUCUUCCGCAAUGGGCGAAAGCCUGACGGAGCAACGCCGCGUGAGUGAUGAAGGUCUUCGGAUCGUAAAACUCUGUUAUUAGGGAAGAACAUAUGUGUAAGUAACUGUGCACAUCUUGACGGUACCUAAUCAGAAAGCCACGGCUAACUACGUG
RNAcentral lists this ribosomal RNA (497 nucleotides) under uncultured bacterium. Its description in RNAcentral is "partial 16S ribosomal RNA". It matches the Rfam family "Bacterial small subunit ribosomal RNA", at positions 28 to 507 of the family's 1533-position model. The record is from RNAcentral.